Molecule: ribosomal RNA, 120 nt
Filed under: uncultured bacterium
Lineage: Bacteria
Description: partial 16S ribosomal RNA
Rfam family: Bacterial small subunit ribosomal RNA
Source: RNAcentral
AUUGAACGCUGGCGGCAUGCUUUACACAUGCAAGUCGAACGGUAACGCGGGCUUCGGCCUGGCGACGAGUGGCGAACGGGUGAGUAAUACAUCGGAACGUGCCCAGGAGUGGGGGAUAGC